CCAGACAAGUAAGCGCUCUGCUACCAUAGGAUGCAGUGAAGCGUGCCGUCGCGUCUGAACUCCGACCAGCAAGCCGCGUGCCGAGACUAGCUUAAACAUAAGAUUUCAAUUAUAACAUAUUACCCCCUAAACAGAUAUAAUAUUAUGAAUAGGUACCUUCUGCUGUCACAAUAUGCAUUAAUGCACACCUCGAUACGAUGCAAUCAUAACAAGCCACUCUCCAAGACCAGUUCAUGCAUAAGAUUUUCGUGAAAAAUGAGUCUCAUAAUGUUUUGAACUAGAACCAGUUCCUCCAAUGCCAGGGCUACUUCAAACUUAAAAUUAUACGCACAGACACAUAUAGUAUAAAUAUACAAAUAUAAACUUUUAUUUUGGUG
RNAcentral lists this long non-coding RNA (377 nucleotides) under Elaeis guineensis (African oil palm). RNAcentral describes it as "long non-coding RNA (EGUI_LNC043638)". Lineage: Eukaryota; Viridiplantae; Streptophyta; Magnoliopsida; Arecales; Arecaceae. The record is from RNAcentral.